RNAcentral lists this small RNA (417 nucleotides) under Pan troglodytes (chimpanzee). RNAcentral's name for it is "processed transcript". The record is from RNAcentral. Lineage: Eukaryota; Metazoa; Chordata; Mammalia; Primates; Hominidae.
AGAACUAAAAUGAACAGUGGUGGCUGACACAGAGGGAGGCAUGGCAACUGAGAUAUAAUCCACAGAGUUCAUUUGCGGGGUUCAUUCCAAGUGACACGGGCAGCAUGGGAACACAUGAAGAAACAGAAGUAUGGAAGGAUUAUUAUGACUUCAUCAGCUUCAGGAAUAUAUGGCAACUUUGGCCAGGCCAAUUAUAGUGCUGCAAAGUUGGGUCUUCUGGGCCUUGCAAAUUCUCUUGCAAUUGAAGGCAGGAAAAGCAACAUUCAUUGUAACACCAUUGCUCCUAAUGCGGGAUCACGGAUGACUCAGACAGUUAUGCCUGAAGAUCUUGUGGAAGCCCUGAAGCCAGAGUAUGUGGCACCCCUUGUCCUUUGGCUUUGUCACGACAGUUGUGAGGAGAAUGGUGGCUUGUUUGAG